GCCUAGCGGUGGCGGGUGGAAAAAGUCCAGGAGUGGCGGGCAAGGCUUCCACGGACGUCCGCUACCGACCUCCUGCCAUUGCUAGAACGCUAUCAGUGGCAGACGCACGCCCGUGACUGUUAGGGCAGGAGCAGUGGCGGGCCGUAGUUCUUGCCCGCCACAUCACCGUGUGUUGCCCGUCACAGGAUUUGCGCACAGAUGUGGUAUAAAAGCAUUAAAAAGAUGAAUUCCUGCAUCUCUUCAUUGAAGAGUAAAGAUCAACCUAUCUUCAACUUGUGGGAUGCGCAAGUAUUCGUCUUCAAGUGGUAGCGUGGAUGCUCUUAUUAUAUUUAUCCAUCCUUUGAUUUUCAUGGUUUCUUCACUUUGACAUAUCAUGUAUUUACCAGGGUAACUCAUCGGGAUUGGUUGUAAGCUAACCACAUGCAAACCACCUUUGAUAAAUAUCACUUUAGGCAUGGUCUCUCACGGGAGUACCUGUUGAAGAACAUAAGUAAUAAUAACAUAGUUAGCAAGCUAGUUUUGCUUAAGAAGAAUGUAUGAAAAAGAUGUACCAGUGACACAAUAGUAAAAAAAUCUUACAAAGUAGUUUGAAGUGAUGUUAGAAUGGUUCAACUUGUGCACUAGUGGCACAUAUUCAUGAUAA
Molecule: long non-coding RNA, 643 nt
Organism: Hordeum vulgare subsp. vulgare (domesticated barley)
Lineage: Eukaryota; Viridiplantae; Streptophyta; Magnoliopsida; Poales; Poaceae
Exons: 2
Source: RefSeq, a predicted model, not a curated record